Molecule: long non-coding RNA, 3276 nt
Filed under: Ooceraea biroi (clonal raider ant)
Lineage: Eukaryota; Metazoa; Arthropoda; Insecta; Hymenoptera; Formicidae
Description: uncharacterized LOC105278284
Source: RNAcentral
ACGUCGAACGAGGGUGAACCUCGACCUGAUGACACCCUAGAGUAUUACCCGUCCGCGGCAGUCCGCUCGGCGCGAUGGGAACGGAGCUAUCGUGAGUCCUCAGGGUCCGCCCGGUCGCGCUUGCACCGGGCUCGCCAGGUGCAUCGUCCUAUCCCCUCCGUUGGAGGCACGUGACCGCCUCCACGCAACGAUCCUCUGGAGCCGUCCGCUGCUACCCUGUACCGGAUGGUACAACUCGCGCGCACUAUGGCCGGGACGGUCUACACCACGACGCGACAUUGUCGGGCAACGCGGACAUUUCUCCCGAUUUGGAUUCGCCUGUGGACCCCGUUUGCCUGGCCGGAUCCCUCUCUUCCUCUACCUUCCUCGAUAUCCCCGACGACGAUGUCGUCGCGACCGCAACUGGUAUCGCGAGGCCGACCGAGGUAAAUUUUUCCGCGCGUUCCGCUUAACAAAACGGACUCAGAGACACGUCCGCGGUCCGACCGCUGGUUCCGUUCCGCCCGUCAAACUUCCCGCGUUCGCUCGCCGCUGCAGCAUCAGGUCAGGGUGAGAACGACGGUGGGUUUCUCACCCUCGGCCCUGCGGGUCCCAGGACGCGUGCGACCGGCAGCAGCACCGUGACAACAUCCCUGAUCUCCCUUACGAUGCUAGGAGACGCGCGUCGCGUGUCGGCACGGGCUACCCUUUCUGAUCUCGGUCGCGGGAUUAUUCUCUGUAUCACUCUCUUUUUCUCUCUCUCUCUCUCUCUCUCUCGCUCUCUCUCUCUCUCUCUCUUCCGGCAAGGAGUUGCCGGAUGCGGUCUCGCCGGCGAUCAACGCUGGACUGAUUCUCGUUCAGCUGCAGCGCCGCGCGGUACCGCCGCUUCAGACCGCUUUGGCGCUAGCUCUCUGUGGUAGCCUACCGCCACCGUUCACCACCUCCGCACCCUCCAUCGCUCGUGAUGUCACCGUCCUUCCUCUUUUUCUUUCUCUCUCUCUACCUCGUUUCCCUCUCCGUCCGGCUCAACAUAUACACCUGCCAGUUGCCGCGCGCGUCUCGGUCCCUCUUUUCCUCCUCCUCUCCACUCUGCACCCCUAUCGUCGUUCUACCUCGAUCACCAGCGCUGUCCGUCUCUUGCAGCCCUUUAACUCCCUCUCGCUUCCUCCUUUCCUCUUUCUCUCUUCCUCUGUAGCUCGCUCUUGUUCUCGUCAUACAUAUACCUUCAUCCCCUCCGACUCCCUUCCUCAACAAUCCCUUUUCUCUUCAUCCAACAGCGGCUCCGCUACGCGCUCUCGCUUGCAUUCAACCCUCGACGGCCCACAUUCGCGCCAUCGUGGGGUGGCGUGGUACACCAUGCGGUACGACCUACCCCCGCCAUCCCGCUUACGCUCUUGCCCGACCCCUCCUGCACGACUCCUCGCUCUCUGGCAUCCCUCUUCCACCCGCAGCUAUAGUGCAUCCCAACAUCGCCGGAGAAGAGAGAAUCGUUACUAUGGCGAGAUCAAUAUGAUAGGACGGCGCAUGCCUCGGUAUCCUUAUACUUGAACCCUUCGCCGCCACUCGCUCUGCCGCGUCUCUCUCGCAGUUCCGCUCGCUCCGUCGUCGUCGCACCUCGUUUUACAAGCUCGUCUCCUCGCAUUCCACACUUCGCCACCGUCUUCGUCACUCGCGCCACGUUCCCCCGACAGCGUCCUCUCCAUCAUCCCCUCGCACGUACAUCCCUCUCCGUGUUGGCGCGCGUUAGAGGCCGCGUGCCAGACCGUGGGCGGCGUUGACUUAAGUCGGUUCAGUCAACAGAGGGCCGCAUACGAGAGAAGAAUAUCGUCCGGUCUUUCCGGUUACGGAUCGACCUCUCCGAAAUGUUCUCCCUUUCUUCUUUGAAUGAAAUACAAGUAGCGCCAGGGUGAAAGCAACAAACGCCUGCCGGCUGAGUAAGAUAGACUCGUUCAGAGUCGUAAUCAUCAACAUCCUGAUGAUCGAGGUAAAACAAGGGAUGCAUCCGGACUUAUGUCUCAGUAGCUAAUGCGUAUAUGCGUAUCACAUAAAUAAUUGGCAGAGGUAGUGUUUCAAGAGAAUGAUCCAGUUGACACUUUUCGAAUGCAAAACAGAUGGAACUGACGCGUUCAGGAAGACAGCACGAUAUGUACGUGGCUCUGCCCGAGAUUAUGCGAUACGCAGUUAAUUGUGCGAUGCAGCAUGUCUGCGUCACGGAGCGCGCCAAAACGAUAUCGCAAAUAAGACAGCACUAUCUCAUCGACCUUAAUACGAUGAAGUUUCUUCCGAUGUCGAUGUGACGUAUACAGUUAUACUAUGUAUUCAAUAUCGAGAGAACAUUACACGGUAAAUCUAAUUCCCUUAAAUAAGGAAUACUUCGAGGACAGAAGAAACAGAAAAACGCAAUCGUCGUGCGAGCGUUCCGCACAAAAGGAGCAGAGAGCUUACGUACCGCCGCAAACCACGUAACGUUCCAAUCUUUGCCGGUGAUUUUUAUGAAGCAAAAGAUUAAAGAAGAAGGCAAACAAAAUUGUAAACGAUACUUGGAACGAUUCUUUAUCGCUCAAACAAGAAGAUUGGAGAAUUAUACGAAAUUUAUAGGGAACAGCGAAAACAUUUAUUAUGCGAUGCGAUACGUGUUAGCAUUUAUCAACGAGGUAAUGGAGCGGAAACGAGUAUUUUUGACACCACACUCGUCGUUUAGCACGUGCCAGCCAUAUCGAAAACGAUCUCACCUUACCUCGUAAGUGUACGAGAGGUGUAGCAACUUGGAAAACUUGCAUUGUUCGUUAGCGCGCGAAAUCUGAUCGCGCUUCGUAAUUGUACCGAAGUUAUAGUUUGUCGUUGACAAAGGGUCGUCUCUGCCGAAAAGUUUGUCGUUGACAUAUUCUCCCUAUUAUAUUGCAUUUAAAAAAUGCAGUUAUUAACAAGUAUAAAUAUGCAGAUAUUAACAAGUCUAAACUUUUGGAAAUUGUUAUGCGUGGACAAGAUCUUCAUUUUCUCUGUUUAUUUAACGUUUUUCUCAGUGGCUUCAGAGUUACCGCAUUUUAAGAAUAAAAGCGGGUUAAAAGGAAUCCCAACAGAGAGCAAAUGUUAAUCCCACAAGAUUAAAACAUCCUUAGUUUUACAAUAUAUAUAUAAUAUAAUAUAAUAAGACUACAAAAAUAUAAGUGCGAACGUUUUUUCCUUAGCUUUGGUAUUAAUCUUCGGCAUAAGCAUUUCGAAAAGAAUAUCAGGACAUCGCUAUACGUUACUAAUAAUUCUAAAACAACGCUGAGACUAAUAAAAGACUAAUAAAGA